AUCAUUUUCCAGAAGCCGCUGAGAUUAAAACCGUCAUGGUUACUGUAAAAAAGACCACCCUUCAGAAAUGGACUCUUCCAAACUCCACCGCCUCUUUUCGUGAUUUGGACUGUUCCAAAACUUUCUGGGGAGUUGGUUAACAAGAUGUUAUAGAGAAAGGAUGUGUAGAUGUGCUUGUUUAUAGUGAAUAAUAGUUAUAUUAGUCAGAAGUGUUGCCAUCUAUUGAAUUUGUGGAUUAUAUGUGUGCGUGCAACUAAUUAUCCAGAUGUAUGGCUGGAACAAAGGAGUUCAGGAAGAACAUGAAGAUGACCACCCCCAGGACAGACAAACACUUCACCAGGAGGACUUUGUCAGUUAUUCUGUGCUGUAAAAUAUGAAAAGCACAUUUAGAAAGUGUCUGACUAUUAUAAGAUUUCAAGAACUCAACCAUGCCCUGGGCUUCAAACAUGAGCAAACCAGGAGCGACCAUGACUAGUAUGUCAAGAUCAACUGGGAGUGCAUCACUCCUGAUAUGAACUACAACUUCCAUAAACAGAACAGCAACAAUCAAAACACUCCACACGACUACGGCUCUUUCCUGCAUUAUGGAAAAACGGCCUUCUCAACCCAGCCCAGGAAGGAAAACACUACUUUCAUUCCUGAUGCAAAAGUGGAUCUCAGACAUUGGCAGAAACUGACAAACAUUGACAUGCUGAAUGGAUGCUGACGUUGAGGAAUAUAUACAGUACUUGUGGUGUUACUAAUAAUUUAAUAUGUGUAGUCAUCUGUAGGUGAAUAAUGGAAUGAGGUGAUCUUCUUUGUCCAUUGAUGGGAUGAAACAUCCCAGUGUAGUUAUACUAAAUAUCAGCACUUUUGGGAUGCUGAUUGUCCUAUCAGAUAAAAAAUGU
This is a long non-coding RNA of Xyrauchen texanus (razorback sucker), 887 nucleotides long. RefSeq lists it as uncharacterized. The record is from RefSeq and is a predicted model, not a curated record. NCBI's taxonomy places the organism in Eukaryota, Metazoa, Chordata, Actinopteri, Cypriniformes, Catostomidae. The transcript has 3 exons.